Non-coding RNA from Trichomalopsis sarcophagae, 46 nucleotides. NCBI's taxonomy places the organism in Eukaryota, Metazoa, Arthropoda, Insecta, Hymenoptera, Pteromalidae. The record is from Rfam.
UAACCGGCCCUUUUCAGGGCCACCAAACUAUUAAACGUUGGGGCUA